GUCCAUUUUUAAUUGGGUUCUUUGGUUUUGUUUUCAAUUUUGUUUUCUGGGUUUUGUUUCGGUUUCUUGAGUUAUAGGAAUCCUUAUACCUUUCCUUAUCAGAAACGUUUCCUUAUCAGAAACACGGUUUGCAAAUAUUUUCUCCUAUUCCGUGGGGUUGUCUAUUCAUUUUGUUGACUAUUUCUUUUGCUGUGCAGAGAUUCUUAGUUUAAGGUAAGACCACUUAUUCAUUUGGCCUUUUGUUGUCCAUGCUUUUGGUGUCCUACCCAAAAACCCAUUGGCAAGACCAAUUAUGACAGCAUUUUCUGAUAAAUAUUCUUCACUUGCCAUGUUUUCCUUUUAUUUCUGCCUUUUUCUCAGAGCCUUUCUUUUCUAGAACCACCGCCACCUCCUUGUUUCUAAGCCGAAUAUUUGCAGAAAACGUGUGUGGGCGACGGGCUGGGGCUGCGCUCUUGUGGCACAAGGCUGUGUGUGUGUGAGUGUGUUAUUUCAGCUCUUGCUUCUCGCAGAAGCUAAUGGGCCGCCCAGGACCCAGGGUGCCUCCUGCUCUGCCUCAUCCACAGACCGCUCACUGCCAGCCGAGUCUGCCUGCGUUUCUCCGUGUUCAGCCGCACCUUCCCUGACUCUUCGAGCCCACCUCCGUCAAGGCCAGCUCCGCCCUCCACCUGCUCCUGCUGGUUCCGAGCUCACUGCCCUGCAGUAUCCCGGUCUUUUUGCGCAUGUUCUCGGGGGAAAGAGAAAUUAGCUCUCCUCACGCCGUCCUGCAGGAUGCCGGAGACUUCGGCGCGUCCCUCGAUGCUCGAUGGAUGUAGGCGACCCUGAGAGUCACUCGUGGGGCCGGCGUUCUGCCUCAUCCGGCCCCGCGCACAUUAGCGAGAGCCUUUGCAGAUGCCUUUCUGCCUGUUCCCAUUCUUCACUCAUUUCUCCUACCAAGGAUAGUCAAGAGGGAAAAAGGAGAGAAAACUAGGAGGUGUAGAGCUUGGUAGUUAUUUUCAAGGGCUUCCCGGCGGUGUUACCCUGAACUGCAAAGCAAAACUCAGAAUAUUUUUGAAGCGAAGAUUAUGUGAAAUGCUCUCCAGACAGGCAAAGAUCAUCGCUGCCCGAUACACCUCCAGCAAGUGCCCACCGAUCCCUGCCUCAGACCGUAUUUUGUCUUUAAGCAUUUCUAAGGAAACAGUGGCCUUAAACACGAUCUCUGACGUUUGCUGAUCUUUCGCCAAUAUUUGUGCGCGGGGAAUCUCGUUUCCGAAAUAGAACUCACAAGGAACAGGCGGCCAGUGUGCGACGGAAGGCUUGCUCCAGGCGCUCUGACAAACCCGGGCCUCCCUCAGGUUUCCCGGAUGAAUUCACACGGGACGAGGAGAAGCACAGCGCGUGACACGCGGUGCCAGGGCCUGCCUGGGUCCCCGGCCUCCCAGCAGAGGCCCUGGGCCCCCAGGUGCUGCCUGGCCGGCCGCGCACAGACGGGAGGGUCUGAGCGGCCGUCGCCGCGCCGGCCCUGGGGG
Molecule: long non-coding RNA, 1505 nt
Organism: Felis catus (domestic cat)
Lineage: Eukaryota; Metazoa; Chordata; Mammalia; Carnivora; Felidae
Exons: 3
Source: RefSeq, a predicted model, not a curated record